Molecule: non-coding RNA, 69 nt
Filed under: Faecalibacillus intestinalis
Lineage: Bacteria; Bacillati; Bacillota; Erysipelotrichia; Erysipelotrichales; Coprobacillaceae
Description: Cyclic di-GMP-I riboswitch
Rfam family: c-di-GMP-I riboswitch aptamer
About the family: GEMM was predicted in a large-scale screen for bacterial structured RNA regulatory elements.
Source: RNAcentral
UCAUAGGCAAAGUAAUCGAAAGGUUAUGACGCAAAGCUAUAGGGGCUUUUAAAUGCCAGCCAGUUGCAA